Anguilla rostrata (American eel) is the source of this 2877-nucleotide long non-coding RNA. RefSeq lists it as uncharacterized. The record is from RefSeq and is a predicted model, not a curated record. The transcript is spliced from 5 exons. Lineage: Eukaryota; Metazoa; Chordata; Actinopteri; Anguilliformes; Anguillidae.
CUGCAAAAAGCAGGGCCUCAGCUGAACCUCUACUCCAAUUCAGCACCCCAGAGCAGUAGCCCUCUCAUAGCAUUUGUUCAUUCACAGUGCACUUAACGUUUCAAGAGUUUUAUUUGUAUACUAGGUGUUAGGAGUCCCAGGAGCUAGGGUCACUUACACACUCCAUUUGUGCGGUUUUUUCUUGAAUUUAUUUUGGCACGAGCUGUGGGACGUAAAAUGCAGCAGAGCGGUUCCGCCUUUUUUUUUUGCGCCGGCUCAAGAAGGAUGUGGGGUCUGGAAGGGAACGAAAUGACGUGGCCGGCGGUUUUAAAUAAGAGUGAGGCAGUGAGAAGCGGGAUCCUUUCUCCUUCGUACCUGAAGGCGAAACAAAUGGACUGAAAAAUAAUUGUCCCACGCAGUAGUGGGGCUAAACCGCGUAUUGUACGGGGUGGCUCCCCAGUGUGGUUGUUCAGUUGAAUUCACCUUAACCCGCCAUGUUUUCCAGUUGAUAAGCUCUCGUGAUUUAGCUCGUAACGUUGACUCUCUGACACAGUGGUUGUUUUAUUUCCCUUUCGCUUGUAGCUGUGCGCUUUGCGUGGGCCCGUUGUUCUUUCACCUUUUCCCUCACCACCAAAUAACCGGCAAAAACAAACUACAACCAAGGGCAGACAUUGCGCCGUCCAGGUGACCUAACGACGACGGCUCCAUGGAAAUCGAGGAGUCUGCGAUGGAAAGCCGCUACAGAUGGCUACUUAGCAAUAACCAGCCUUGGAAGACUUAAGUCCCUCUUAUUUUGGUACUGCAGCAGGAGAAGAAAGAUUGCCUGUGAACUGUGCUGACGCAGAACUCAGAGGAAGCAGUUACACGCUGUCCUAAGGCCCCUGGCACCGGAAGCACAAGUACAGGUGCUUCAGGCAGGACCUCCAGGACUUCCCACAGGCUGAAAUGGGCCAGAAAUGCCCACUGAUUGAUCACAUCUUCAGCUGAAGACCAGACAAAUGAAGUACCAUAUAAAGGAGUACAUCUGACCCAGUUCCUCUGACUUACAUUUUAAGAUACCACUGCUCAGCUAGUGCUGCUAGCAUGAUUAAAAGGAGUAUACCAAGGUUCUGGGCCCUCACUGUCACAAGGCAGUGUGGACACAGUAAGCCUUAGAAAUGCUGCUGAAAACUGUCAAAUUAUCCAACCAAACAAAUCUUUCCACAUUCAAAACAAACUGUGAAAGGCAGACCUACGUUGUCCUUGUUGUUGGAAUAUGGCUGGACAAUUCUCUUGUAAAUAGCUGGUGGUUGAAGUCAAAGGUCAAUGGCUAAGCUACACUGUGAACAGUGACACAUAGUUUUUAUGUCUGUUUUUAUUAUUAUUUGUUUAUACAGACAUCACGCAGCCAUUUCAAUAACCAUCAUAUAAAAUUCAUUUCAAGUGUAGUGAGGUCUGGUCAGGUUUAUUCAGAACAAUGGAUUCAACAACCAAUCAGAAUUCUGUCCGUCUGUAGAGCUCUACUUAGUGAAAUAACAUAAACACGACAAUGGAUUGGAAAUAAAGGAUAUAUCUUUAUUGGAAAUGAUAAUGAAAAUGUGAAUAGGCUCAUUGAAAACAAUAAUUAGCAUAAAGAGGAAUAAUAUUGUACAAUUCGUAAUCAGGGGAAAUGUUAAUUCUGUGACAAGGUUAACCGUGCUACCAUUUUAAAAAUGCUAGUUUGUGUUAUGGCUUAAUGACACCCUGCUGUACAUUAUGCGGUUAGUUCGUUUAAUCAGUCUCGUAAAAUGAAGUUGUAACAAAUUAACACAAGGUCAGGGAAUUUGCUUUAAUGGUAACCAAAAUACGUGUAAUAGCAAAAUAAACACAACAGUAAACAGUAGUAAAACGACCCAACCAGGUAUGACAAGUUUUACGCUAAGGCCCUGUCCACACGUAUAUGGAUUUUUCUGAAAACUUAGUUUUUUAUUUUUUUUUAAAAGAAAAAUUCCAUCCACACGACCGGCAUUUAAAAAAAUAUCUCCGUCCACACGAGAAUGCUAAAAUGAUUGGCGCAUGCGCAAUACACCAAUUGCCAUGGUAACAGAUGCGCGAGUUGAGGUCAUGACGUCAGCGUUUUCAUAAAGCUCCAUUUUUCUUGUCCACACGAAGACCGGAGUUUUGAAAAAUCUCCACCUUGGAAGGUGUUUUCAAAAAGCUUUGUUCUCAGUGACCUAAAACAGUGUUUUUGUGUGGACGGGAGGCCAAAACGGAAGGAAAAAACUAUGUUUAAAAAAAAAUCCAUAUACGUGUGGACAGGGCCUAAGGUUUGAUGUCAGUAUUAAAUAAAACUACAUGGUGACGCACUGCGGUGGGCGCAUGUUAAAAAGCCGUAGUGUGCGUUUUAAAAACAGGUUUGCUGCAACACACUCACUGUACGCGUGGCCAACUAACAGGGCAGUGCAGCUGUAGGCUGUUAAAUUCUAGCCAUAGGGUUUUACUUUGUUUUAAAUGUUUUAAAUCGCAACAUUACCGUGCUAACAAACACCUUUCGCACAUUGUGCGUCAUGCGUCGGUCGGCGUUCGUAGCUGUGAGCCACUGUUUCCUGUGCAGAAGGGAAGACAUUUUUUUUGGUUUCAACCAUGCCUCCUACAGCAUAUAUGAGGGAGUGUUCACCCUUCAUUUUGGUAUUGUUGGUUGGAUGGAAUUUAUGCUGGUCAGAGUCAGGAAAGUAGCAGUGGUAAUAGUGUGUGGGUUGUCAUUGAAAGCCUUGUACAUGUUAUGUCUAUUUUUUGUUUUGUUUCUUUAGUAGUGUCAGUUGUGUUUAUUAGAGUUUAGUUGUUUAUUUGUUUUGAUACCUUUCACCCCCCCUGCACUGUAUAUAGCCCUCACCUUUGCCUGCCCAUCUGGAGAAAUAAUAAAACUACUUGGGCACUUCA